Molecule: long non-coding RNA, 7649 nt
Filed under: Ricinus communis (castor bean)
Lineage: Eukaryota; Viridiplantae; Streptophyta; Magnoliopsida; Malpighiales; Euphorbiaceae
Description: long non-coding RNA (RCOM_LNC002739)
Source: RNAcentral
GAGCAUUAGUGCUUCUCUCCACAACCCCCUCAUAUUCUGAUCCCCAUCAAGCCCCUAAAAAUGAAGGAGAGAAACCACCUCCAAAACAUAAACCACCACAUGGUCAUCUUCUAGCUGAAAGUGUAGAAGAAUUUCAUGAACAUGCAAAAGGUAAAAGAGACAAGCCACCACCUAAACACAAACCACCACAUGGACAUCUUUUAGCUGAGGAAGUAGAUGAUUCUUUUAAACCGCCUAUGGGUAAGGGAGAAAAAUUUCCACCGGAACACAAACCACGUAAUCCUCCAUCAGAGCAUAAGCCACCGCACAAGCCUCCACAUGCGCAAAAGCCACUAAAUAGACGUCUUUUACAAGUAGAUAUUGAGGAUGCACAUAAAGAAAAGGGAGAGAAGCCACCACAUGGACAUCUUUUGGCCGAGGAAGUUAUGGAGGACUCGCCUAAGAAAAAGGGAGAGAAGCCACCACCGAAGCACAAGCCACCACAUGGACAUCUUUUGGCCGAGGAAGAGGUCGAGGACUCACACAAAGGGAAGGGAGAGAAGCCACCACCAAAGCACAAGCCACCACAUGGACAUCUUUUGGCCGAGGAAGAAGUUGAGGACUCACACAAGGGAAAGGGAGAGAAGCCACCACCAAAACACAAGCCUCCGCAUGGACAUCUUUUAGCUGAAGAAAAAGUUGAGGACUCACACAAGGGAAAAGGAGAGAAGCCACCACCAAAACACAAGCCCCCGAAUGGACAUCUUUUAGCUGAAGAAGAAGUUGAUGACUCACACAAAGGAAAGGGAGAGAAGCCACCACCAAAGCACAAGCCACCACAUGGACAUCUUUUGGCCGAGGAAGAGGUCGAGGACUCAUACAAAGGAAAGGGAGAGAAACCACCACCAAAACACAAACCUCCACAUGGACAUCUUUUAGCCGAGGAAGAAGUUGAGGACUCACACAAGGGAAAGGGAGAGAAACCACCACCAAAACACAAGCCCCCACAUGGACAUCUUUUAGCCGAGGAAGAAGUUGAUGACUCGCACAAGGGAAAGGGAGAAAAGCCACCACCAAAACACAAGCCACCUCACGGGCACUUAUUAGUUGAAGAGGUUGAAGACUCACACAAGGGGAAAGGAGAAAAACCACCGCCAAAGCACAAACCACCUCAUGGACACCUUUUAGCUGAAGAGGCCAACGACUCUCACAAAGGAAAGGGAGAGAAGCCACCAUGCAAGUCUCCUCACAAACCCCCAUCAGCCAACUAAGUGCCUUACGCUAAUUUCGCUAGAUGCUUAAAAAUAAGAAACAGAAGUAGUUUACUCUUCUGUUGGUUUCUGUAUCUGCAUUUUUCACUGAAUUAGUAUUUGUACUUUGGCUUGUAUUAUAUGAGUACUACCCUCUAGUUGGCUGUUUUAUGUAGAUUAUGGUUUUAUGUUCUAGUGCUGCGCGUAUUAUUUCAGUUGACUUAACUUUUAUUUGCAAAAUAUACAGCAAGACAUGCACACAAUCCUAGUACGUAGUUUUGCCACAUGCAUAUAUUUGGUGGUAGGAUAUUGUCAACGACAACAACGUUUAAUUACUUUAACUUAAACACGUGCUGAUGAUUUUUUUUUUUGUAAAAGCCCUUUAUUAGUAAACUAGUAUUACUCUGACAUCAACAGAUAUACCAUAGGUUUUGUCUAAAACUUGAAGGUUUCUGUAGUUUAAUUUGGUAAGUAAAAUUUUUUGUGUGUAGCACAUAAUGAAUAUGUUACUUACAUGUGUAGAUUUAUAUUUUACAUUUUAUUUUAAUAUUAGAUAAUUAAUAUAUAUAUAUUUAAUUAUUUAAAUUUAUAUAUAUUACUAAUUUAUUAAUUUAGUCUAUAUAUAUAUAUGAUAUACAUUUAAGUUAAAUUAGGUAAGAAGUUAUUAAGUACUUCCAAAUUAAUAUGAAAUAAUUCUCUAAAGGAAAUGAAUCAACUCUUGGAAAAUGUCGGGAGAAAAGAUUUCAAAUUUCUGCAUGUCUCUGUUUCUGCUCAGUGGAUGUCUCUGUUUCUGCUUGCUGCCUAUGUUGCAAUAUUUAUUUGGCUUUUUAUUCCUGGUAAAUUUCUUAUUUUCCUCUUAAUUUUGACUAGGCCGGCUGAUUCGGGAGUAAGAUUUAAGUAGUUUUAUAUUUAAUGAAAAGUAGAAUUCUGAAGAAGCGAAAAUAAAUAUAAAAAGGGAUAAUUGGUGUUCUGAGUGAAUCAUUAUUAAACACAAAAUUAGUAUUACAAACAAAAUUGCAAUUAUCAAAAUGACAGUAUGCUCCACAGAUAGAUGAUUAUCUAAUCAGUACUUAUAAUUAGCCUAAAUUUAAUAGGAAUAGUACAGAAUUAAACUUUCUUUUUUAAAAAAAGGGUCAUUAAACUGAAUCAUAAGAACAGGAUAGAGAGUAUUUGUAAUCAAAGAAACAUAGAGAGAAUUCAAAGUAAUGCCCCCAGAUGAUAGCCCUGAACAAUAAAUAUUACUUAGAAAAACAAACUGCCAAGAGAAAUUAGUCAAUAAAAUUUAGAUUGAAUCACGAUAUUUAUAAACGAGUAGAUAAAUAUAUCUUUUUUAUUAAAAAAUAAUAUUGCAUAAUUCAUCUUAAUUUAUUUCAACUUUUACUCAUAAAAUGUGAUAUAUAAUAUAUUUAUAAAAUUAUUAAUAUUUUGAUAUUACUCUCUUAAUUAAUAAAUAAUUCCAUAAAAACAUCAUACACCAUAUUAUAUAAACAAUAGUUGGGACAAAUCAAAAUGAAAUGUUUAGCAUUUUUCUAGUUAAAACCUAUUCUACAAUUCAAACCAAAAAUAGCAGUCCAAGAAAGCAUAUCUUUCACUAAUAAUCCAAACAAAUCGCUAAUUCUAAACAACCACGUUUUGGUUAAAAGAUUAUUAAUUUAGUUUGUCUAAUAAUUCGAUCCUGAAUUUGCUGAGCCGCAGUAGGAUCUCGCUCGUAUAUACAAAUCCUGAAGAAGAUCACUAUAAAUUUCUGAUCCAAUAAUGAAACUUUGAAGUCCAUAAGUAGGUUUAGGAGAAAUUUAAAGGCAGAUUCAGUUUUAAUAUUAAAUUAUAAAUAAUAUCAAUUAUACAGUAAUAUAUAACAUUAUUUACUGAUUAUUACACUUAUAUCAGUUGAAUUCUAGCCAUAAAUAAUGAAUGGUAUGGAUAGUAGUACUUAAAAAGAAUAAUCUCCAUAUAUAUAUAAAUGCAUGGAAUUUAAUAACUUUCACACCUAUGAAAUUAUCCCACCUAAAACAGAAAACCUUAGUAUUAAAUUGAGAAUAAUGCAGAAAUAUAAAUAUUUGAAAUAAUUACAAAUAAUGCAGAAAUACAAGGACCGCAGGAAAACAGAGGCCACACACUCUUGGCUGGAAUGAUUUUCCUAUUUUUGCAUGCUCACCCAUUACUCUACUCUAUCGCAUUAUUAUUGUUCAAAACUUCACAACUUAACAAAUAUACUUCCAACACAUCACAUGCGUGACCCAUUAAUUAUUACAUGUGAACGUAAAAUGAGAAGUGGUGACAACAGCAGUGAUGUCACACUUUCUGAUAUUACUACAAUUCUUGGAUGACUUACCUUAAUUCCUUUCUGGUGCAUGUUGCAGUAAUUUAUUAGAAAUACAUAAGACCUUUUUUUUCUUCCUAUCUCUUUGUUUCAUUGUAGAAUAGUCCGAGACAACGAUAAUAUCUUACACUUAAUUUGUCUGUAAAUAUAUAUACACUUGACUUUACAUGCUAUAGUAUUAUUAACUAGUCACCUAGACAGAUUUGAAGUAGAUAAUAUUUAUCGAUAAAUUACUUUCUAGAUUUCUAUUUUAUGGUUACAUACAUCAAAAUUUCUGCAAAACAAGUGGAGAAUAGCCUAAUUUGGGGAUUCAAAGAAACUUUGAUGGCUUCUUUUUCUACUCGAAAUUAUACUAAAAAUAAUUCAUAAACAUGAAUGAUCCAAGGGUGGAGAGCAAGACUCUUAGCCAGUUUGUCAAAAAUUUUAACUCGAUGGGACCCAAUAGAUCUAAUUGGUUCGUAAGAGAGCCAAAUGUAUUCAACUUCACUACAUAGUGUACUAAUCUAUAGUAAAGGACAGGUGCAGUAUGACAUGGGUGGUGACGACAUAGUCCCACCGUCCACCCAUGCAAUAUUAUAAAAGGCAGAGCAAAGCUUCAAGUUUUGCACCAUCAACUGAACCCCAAAUAUGUCUUCUAAAUACUUGCUAGUGUUGUUCCUCCUCGGAGCAUUAGUGCUUCUCUUCACAACCCCCUCAUAUGCUGAUCAUCAUGAGCCCCUUAGAAAUAAAGGAGAGAAACCACCUCCAAAACAUAAACCACCACAUGUUCAUCUUCUAGCUGAAAAUAUAGAAGAUUUUCAUGGACAUGCAAAAGGUAAAAGAGACAAGCCACCACCUAAACAUAAACCACCACAUGGACAUCUUUUAGCUGAGGAAGUAGAUGAUUAUUCUACAUCUCCGGGAUGGAAACUACAUAAUCCUCCAUCAGAGCAUAAACCACCGCAUAAGCCUCCACAUGAGCAAAAGCCACUAAAUAGACGUCUUUUACAAGUAGAUAUUGAGGAUGCACAUAAAGAAAAGGGAGAGAAGCCACCACAUGGACAUCUUUUGGCCGAGGAAGUUAUGGAGGACUCGCCUAAGAAAAAGGGAGAGAAGCCACCACCAAAGCACAAGCCACCACAUGGACAUCUUUUGGCCGAGGAAGAGGUCGAGGACUCACACAAAGGGAAGGGAGAGAAGCCACCACCAAAGCACAAGCCACCACAUGGACAUCUUUUGGCCGAGGAAGAAGUUGAGGACUCACACAAGGGAAAGGGAGAGAAGCCACCACCAAAACACAAGCCCCCGCAUGGACAUCUUUUAGCUGAAGAAAAAGUUGAGGACUCACACAAGGGAAAAGGAGAGAAGCCACCACCAAAACACAAGCCCCCGCAUGGACACCUUUUAGCUGAAGAAGAAGUUGAUGAUUCGCACAAGGGAGAGGGAGAAAAGCCACCACCAAAACACAAGCCACCUCACGGGCACUUAUUAGUUGAAGAGGUUGAAGACUCACACAAGGGGAAAGGAGAAAAACCACCGCCCAAGCACAAACCACCUCAUGGACACCUUUUAACUGAAGAGAUCAACGACUCUUACAAAGGAAAGGGAGAGAAGCCACCUCACAAGCCUCCCCACAAACCCCCAUCAGCCGACUAAGUACCUUAGGCUAAUUUCGCUAAAUGCUUAGAAAUAAGAAACAGAAGUCUACUCUUCUGUUGGUUUCUGUAUCUGCAUUUUCACUGAAUUAGUAUUUGUACUUUGGCUUGUAUUAUAUGAAUACUACCCUCUAGUUGGCUGUUUUAUGUAGAUUAUGGUUUUAUGUUCUAGUGCUGUGUGUAUUAUUUCAGUUGAUUUAACUUUUAUUUGCAAACUAUACAGCAAUACAUGCACUUACUCCUAGUACGUAGUUCUGCCACAUGCAUAUAUUUGGUGGUAGGAUAUUGCCAACGACAACAACGUUUAAUUACUUUAACUUAAAUCAAAUAUGAAAUGAUUCUCUUAAUUAAAACUAAAUUUUUUUUAUACCCUAAUUUAACCCUUAUUUAUUAAUUAUAUUUAUUAAAUCUCUUAUUAGUUAAAGUAUAUAUAAUAAAACUAGGUAAGAAUGUGUGAGAUUUCAAAUUUCUUCAUAUCUGUCACUGGUUAUUUCAUGUCUCUGUUUCUGCUUGCUGCCUAUGUUGCAACAUUCAUUUGGCUUCUUAUUCCUAGUCAAUUACUUAUUUGCCUCUCGAUUUUGACUAGGUCGAUAGUAAGCUUAAAGUUUAAUUUCAAACAGUUUCAUAUUUAAAGAAAAGUAGUAUUUUGAAGAAGCGGAAAUAAACACAAAAAAAAGAUAGUUGGUGCAAUGAGUAAAUCAUUUUCAAAUAUAAAAUUAUUAUUACAAGCAAAAUUGGAAUUAUUAGAAUGACAGUAUGCUCCAAAGAUAAGAGUAUAAUAUGAAUAGUACAAAAUUAGCCUUUUUCUUUAAACAAAAUAAUUCAGUAAACUGAUCAUAAGAACGUAAUAAAGAGUAAAAUUCUAUCCUACAUUUGUAUUUCAAAAGUAAAAAAUAUUAAUUUUUAAAUACAUUUGGUUCUCAGUGAUUGACAAGAUAAAAUCUUAUUUAACUUUCUCCUUAUAGAGUAGGAAUUCCAGAUACAUAUUAUCUUACCAAGGGUUUGAUAAUGACAUUUUAAUUACAGCACCACUAUAGACAAGUAGCCAUUGUUAAUGGAGGUUAUCAUUCCAAUUUCCCUCUUGUGAAGUUAUUAAUUUGUGGAGAUUAUAAAGGACUCCAAUCUUUAACCCUUCCAAUGAGUUAAAAAAAUAUAAAAUAUUUCUUAUCAAAUUGCACCAUCAACAACUCAUACGAAUGCCACCUUUAUGGCCGCAAAACAGAGUGCUUGAUAACCAAAUUUAAGAUAAAUCUCAAUUCGACGGUAAGUGCAUCACUUAGAUUUGUUACAUCCUAAUAAUAUAUACUAAAUUUAUAAAUAAUUAAUAUAUAUUUUAUUAAUUUAAAUAAUAAAAUAUAUAAAUUAUAUAUAUAUCAACUGCCAGUGGUACCUUUUUUAAACUAAAGGAAGCUAUUAGUGGAGACAAGCUUUAGAAGUGAACGCCACUCAUCUGCUAAACUACAAAAGAUGCCACCACACCUCUGACGUCAAAUGAUAUGCAUGUGCUCUAGUCACUGUUGAAACUAAGAAAUUAUUAACCGUGAGCCUAAUAUCCAAAGAACCUUUGGAUCCAAUCAAUUGAUUUUAGAUAAACUAUGGUGAAAAUAUAUCAUUUUUCGUUACUCUUCAGCUUUCCACCAAAUUCAGCCCCCCAAAAGUUCAAGAAAAAAAAUUAAUACCAAGGAUAAUAUAAAUUCCAAGAGUUUAGGCGAAUAAUUUUUUUUCUGAUCAGCAUUUUGCAAUUAGUUGAAAAUUGGAACUUGCCAGAAGCUGUGCAGCUCAAUUUUAUCAGGCACAUACGAAAACACACUUCCUAUUUCUCUGAAAGUUUGUCUUGCAGCAGUUUAAGAUGAACAAAAGCAAGUUGGUUUUCUGCUUGUAAUUUACAACUCAAUUAGAUUAUAGAAGAAAUUAAAACAGUAAUAUGUAAUUCUUUGGGGCAUAACCUUUAAUACUACUGAUAAGUAUAACGGAUACGUUCCUAAAUUAUAUUGUACUAAAUUUACAACCGCAAGGAGAUCCAAGUUGGAGAGUUAAUAAUCACACUAGGUUAGGAGAAAGAGCAAUAACUUGGCCAUAUUGUCAAAGUUUUCAACUAGUUGGAACCCGGUGGAUCUUCUUCUCUAAACCGGUGGAUCUUCUUCUCUAACAUGAAAUUUUAAACAGCCAACUUGACUGCAUAGGGUACUAGGUUAGUAAAGACAAGAAAGUAUGACAUGAACAAAAACCACUUAAUAGACGUCUUUUACAAGUAGAUAUUGAGGAUGCACAUAAAGGAAAGGGAGAGAAGCCACCGCAUGGACAUCUUUUGGCCGAGGAAGUUAUGGAGGACUCGUAUAAGAACAAGAGAGAGAAGCCACCACAUGGACAUCUUUUGGCCGAGGAAUAAGUGGAGGAUUCACGCAAAGGAAACGGAGAGAAACCACCACCAAAACACAAACCUCCACAUGGACAUCUUUUAGCUGA